Molecule: ribosomal RNA, 253 nt
Filed under: uncultured bacterium
Lineage: Bacteria
Description: partial 16S ribosomal RNA
Rfam family: Bacterial small subunit ribosomal RNA
Source: RNAcentral
UACGUAGGGUGCGAGCGUUGUCCGGAAUUACUGGGCGUAAAGAGUUCGUAGGUGGUUUGUCGCGUUGUCCGUGAAAACUCACAGCUUAACUGUGGGCGUGCGGGCGAUACGGGCAGACUGGAGUACUGCAGGGGAGACUGGAAUUCCUGGUGUAGCGGUGGAAUGCGCAGAUAUCAGGAGGAACACCGGUGGCGAAGGCGGGUCUCUGGGCAGUAACUGACGCUGAGGAGCGAAAGCGUGGGGAGCGAACAGG